Lathyrus oleraceus (garden pea) is the source of this 2766-nucleotide long non-coding RNA. RefSeq lists it as uncharacterized. The transcript is spliced from 6 exons. Lineage: Eukaryota; Viridiplantae; Streptophyta; Magnoliopsida; Fabales; Fabaceae. The record is from RefSeq and is a predicted model, not a curated record.
CUGAGCAACAAUAAAUCCAUAAAAGAAAAACAAUCAGCAGAGAAGCACGAACGAACUCCCUCUUGUCUCCUCUAAUUAAAAUACUCUUUUCACACUCUCUCCCUGCUUUUCAUUUUCUCCACCUCUGUUAUAACACCACCAUCACUAUUGGAUUAACCACGAUGGUGGUAACAGGAAUCUCCGACGACACUUCUGUGUAGCCGUGGUGUCAAGUCGUGAGCGCUCAUAACUCAAAGGAAAAUCCUACCCUUAUCCAAGCAAAUACUUAAAAACCCAAAUCUAGCCAUGUAGUUUCCAAAUCAAAAACAAAGAUCCAAAGAACCGAAGCCAGAAAACAACGAAAACAAAGGACCCAGAUCAAAGCAUAAACAAGCAAGAGACCUAAAUUUUCAACUCCAAAUUAAACUUAAUACAACAGAAAUCUCAUGUAAUAAUCAUGGGGGUUAUGGUAUAUGAGGCGAUGUGAACAAGGUGGUAACCUCAAAUCAUGCAAAGGAGAAGUUUAAAUACCAAAUCGGAGCUAGUUCGACGUUCGACUCCGGUCAAGGCGAGAGUAACGGCGCUGGAAAAGGUCCCUUUAUCCCAGUGAUGGAUGCUCUUUAUAUAGAGCUUUGGAGGUACGAGGUUUCUCACUCCUGAGCUGGCAAAGAUUCGAAAAAUCUGUUAGGAUCAAAUCCUUUCUAGAUUUUGGUGUGGUCCCAGGAAUGAAGGUGGUGAAAUCUGUUUCUGUUUUGUCCAUAGUGAAAUCUUCAGAAUCAAGUAUCCUGUGUUGAUUUUCUCAUUUACCACUGUGAAAGAUCUACGUGUCGUGGUUUAUUUUCAUGGAGUUUGUCUACUACUAUUUGGUCAAGAUUAUGCGCACAAUAGUGAUGCUCCUACCUGACUUUAAUAUUCGUCCAUCAUGGUUUAUAGCACAAAACAGGACUUCAACAUACGUAUCUGUUCUUGGAGAGAAUGCCCAUAUUUGCUUGACAGAGUUAUGGCAAUUGCAGGGUUAAAACCAACUUAUAGGAUGCCUAGGUUCAGGUAAUUUUAAUGAUGUCCUAUAGAGGUGAUGCAUAUUACUGCAUACUGUUUACCCAAUCCUCCAUUCGUCCUCACUUUAAACUCUUUGUUGGGAUGUUCUCCUCUCAUUGUCACAACCAGGAAUAGCUUGAUGUUCAAAGUUUGAAAUCAUUUUGCCUUGAUCAUUCGGCUGCUACUUGAAUGUGGUGAGAUAUUUAGGCUUUUGAAAAACUCCAGGUUUCAUUCAUCUUCAGUCACAACUUGGCAAGGCACACCUUUCGAAUGACCUUGUGCAUUUUGGCGGACUCUUCCUUCAUAUUCGAUGUAAAAACUCCUUAUCGUGAUCCUGUAAGUCACCACCAAGCCAAUCUAAAUCCAGGUCAAGAAUAUCAUUUGGCGAUAUUUGUAGCUUACUCGACAGCUGUUUUGGAAAUGAUGAGUCUAUGCUCAAAGUGACAAACGAAUUCUUUCUAGCUGGAAAUUUGGAAUUGUUGUGCAAAACUCUUGCCAUUUUUUGGAACGAUGAGUCACAUAUAUAUUUUGCCUUGUAUCCCCUGUAUUGUUUCAAAUAUGUAGAAAUGAACUGUAGUUUGGAAUGGUUAAUACAAGUCUAGCUGUUGUAAGGAUUGAAGUCAUGGUGAAUUCAUGAUGCUUGGCAUGGCUUUGUUGUUGUAGUGAUUCCAGGAUGGUGUAAAGCAACAUCAUUUUGUCCUGUUUGGCCUUAGGUUUGUUUGAUAAUGCGGGACAUUGGCCACAAGGUCUCAUGGUUUCCGGUCGGUAUACCACAGCCACCUCUUGUUCGUAGCCUUGGCUUGUAGCACUAGCUAUCAAUGCUUGCGAAGUGCUAAGUCAUGAUUUCAUCAUGUCGUUGAUACUCAGUCUGGUGCGGUUUCUUGAAGGAAUGUUGACACUACAGGGGUGAUGUACAUUUUAUCAUGUUGGUUCACAAGCUUGCUCCUUUUGGUACAGGGUGGUUGUUAGAAUUUAUGGACAACUUUGUCAUGAUUUUAAAUGGAGGCGAGAAGUAGACUGAGCCAAUAUUGGAGCGGAGUAUAUCUGCAAAAUCUGAAGCUCCCUUCCAAAUGCUACAGACUGUUAGAUUCUUAACUAUCUUGUAGUUUAAGCUAAGUCUCAAAAUGUAUCAUGACACCAAUCUAUAGCAGUCACUUGGCUUAGCAUGAUAUGGAAUUAUAGCUGGUCCGAAUUGCACUUGUAACAUGAUGCUAUGCUUGGUUUUAUGGGGUAUUUCUUUUGGUCAUGUUUGUGACAGGAUGCUAUUGCUCUUGUGCUGCAGGAUCUACAACCCGAAUUCUAUUGUUUGUUUGGCCUAGUUUGGACACGUUCUAUCUGUAUUUGGUGUUUGGUCUGCAGUAAUUGUGACUUGACAAAUGCCGUUUUUUUUGUUGUUGUAGGUUCUGUAUUCAGAGCUGAUGGUGAUAAUUUCAUGUAUUCAACUACCUUUUAUUUUGGGACACAUGGAUUCUUGUUCGCCUUGCCGACACGAUGCUAUUGGCUCUUGGACCCGCCAGUUAUCGCAUGGUACGAGGCGAUACCUUAUAAUGUCUUCGGAGACCAGCGCAAGAAGAGGUCCAGGAAGCCGUCACGGCAAACUGAUGUGCAUUUUUAACUUUAGAAAUUUACCUCUUGCAUUUGGCUUGGUUGUAAUGUCAUUUAGCAACUAGAAUUGCUUAUGAUCAGUUAUAUAAUGUAUUCCUUUUGACUUUUGAAGCAAGUGUUUGUAAAACCCAGAAUUUUGUCCAA